UAUUAAACCGAAAUAUGUUUUAAUUCUGAUUUGUUUUUACCAUCGUACUACAGGGAAGCCCUUUCAACGUUUUAAUUCAUUAUAUUGUUUAAAACUAUUGCGAACUUAAAUGCAUCUAAUUAUAAUUUGAUUCCAACUACUUAUUCGUAAAUAUUGAAUCAUCGUCACAGAACAAAACAUUAAGAAGAAUUUGUUUUUGUUUUUAAACUAAAUAAGUUUUUGGCAAAAAUUUAAUUUUUGGUACAAACUUUUAUCGCUGACUGUACUUUUCUUACGACAGACAACUAAUACUCAUCGAGACAAUUCUAAAAACCCCUAACACUAUUAGGUUGCGUUGUUUCAUCACAGAGUUCUUAUGGUCACCUCCUGUCUCCAUCAUCAGAUCAGCUCGAUGGUACCAUAAUAUUGCAUUGUCAUCCGAUUUAUACAUGCAUGCAAAAUUUCAGCUCAAUUGGAAACCGGGAAGUGGAUCAAAGUUAACUUGCAAGAUUUGAUUACAGACCGACAGACAGACAACGGUCGUGAAACUAAAUAAAAGCUUGUAAAAAUAUCAAUUGUUAACAAUGUUUAUGAAGUUAUCGAUCUGUUGAAAUAUUUAUGUCAAAACCAUUAAAACUUAUUGGAAGAAAAACAAUUAAAAUUAUAAAAGCCGGUACAACUCUAGCCUCAUAAUAAUCAAAGAAUAGCCAUUGAAAUUAAACAAUACUAUGUACACUUAUUACAUUUUCAAUUUAUCAUAAAAGUAACAUUUUCGAGAAAAAUAAGUUAUGAGAAUAACCGGGAUAAAUGCAACUAUGGAGUUGUUACGUAUUUUAACACCCUCUUGGUCCUACUUUAUAACCGACUUCAAAAAAAGGAGGUUAUUAUUCUUCAAGUAGUUCAGGUUUUUAUGACGGCAGAUGGGACCUCUUGUAAUUCGCGUUGUUUGAAAAAUAACUCAAAUCAGACGCAGUAAUCCCAUAGUUGCAUUUGCCCCGUUCGGGUAAUUAUAAUUUUAAUUUGUAUUAUCCAGUGCUAGAUGUGUACUAACUAUGUAAAGCACUGUGAUGUCCAAGUGCCGUUUAUUUAGAACUUAAACACCAUUGUGUUAGAAUUAUUUACAUAAGAAUUUGAAAUAUAUGAGCACUUUUUUAUGUA
Long non-coding RNA from Cydia splendana, 1137 nucleotides. RefSeq lists it as uncharacterized. Lineage: Eukaryota; Metazoa; Arthropoda; Insecta; Lepidoptera; Tortricidae. The transcript is spliced from 2 exons. The record is from RefSeq and is a predicted model, not a curated record.